GAAGCUGGAUUCGCUAGUAAUCGCGGAUCAGCACGCCGCGGUGAAUACGUUCCCGGGCCUUGUACACACCGCCCGUCACACCAUGGGAGUUUGUAACGCCCAAAGUCGGUGGCCUAACCUUUAUGGAGGGAGCCGCCUAAGGCGGGACAGAUGACUGGGGUGAAGUCGUAACAAGGUAUC
Molecule: ribosomal RNA, 180 nt
Filed under: uncultured bacterium
Lineage: Bacteria
Description: partial 16S ribosomal RNA
Rfam family: Bacterial small subunit ribosomal RNA
Source: RNAcentral